AUGGCUCAAUGGUUGAGUGGUUGUUUUCAAAAUCAAAGGUCAUGGGUUCAAAUCCUGUU
Helianthus annuus (common sunflower) is the source of this 59-nucleotide non-coding RNA. The record is from Rfam. NCBI's taxonomy places the organism in Eukaryota, Viridiplantae, Streptophyta, Magnoliopsida, Asterales, Asteraceae.